GCCCGAAGGUGUUCUCUCAUGUCCAUCUCACCCCUUUGUGCAUCACCGCGUGGGCCCCCCUAUUGGGAUUGUUCCGAGAAGGGGGUUUCACGUUUUUAAACAGACACCAUUUUUUCAAAUGCAUGUGUAGAAUGUCUUACUUUUUGCGAUCACGCGAAAUCAAUACAACUUUCAACAACGGAUCUCUUGGCUCUCGCAUCGAUGAAGAACGCAGCGAAAUGCGAUACGUAAUGUGAAUUGCAGAAUUCAGUGAAUCAUCGAAUCUUUGAACGCACCUUGCGCCCCUUGGUAUUCCGAGGGGCACACCCGUUUGAGUGUCGUGAACACCCUCAACCUUCUUGGUUUUUCUACCGGGAAGGCUUGGACUUUGGAGGUUUUCCUUGCUGGCCUCCCUUUGAAGCCAGCUCCUCCUAAAUGAAUUAGUGGGGUCCACUUUGCCGAUCCUUGACGUGAUAAGUAUGCUUCUACGUCUUGGGUCUGCACUGUUGCCCUGGAACCCGCUUCCAACGGUCUUCGACUGAAGACGAUGUUCGAGUCGCGUCGCGACUUCGACCUCAGCGACCUUGACCUCAAAUCGGGUGAGACUACCCGCUG
Molecule: ribosomal RNA, 594 nt
Filed under: uncultured Russulaceae
Lineage: Eukaryota; Fungi; Basidiomycota; Agaricomycetes; Russulales; Russulaceae
Description: eukaryotic LSU rRNA
Rfam family: 5.8S ribosomal RNA (bases 167-320)
Source: RNAcentral